Molecule: small RNA, 181 nt
Organism: Verticillium longisporum
Lineage: Eukaryota; Fungi; Ascomycota; Sordariomycetes; Glomerellales; Plectosphaerellaceae
Rfam family: A. fumigatus sRNA Afu_182
Source: Rfam
AUAUGAACAACGCAAAAAUCACAUUCAGAUUUCCAUGCAAACUUGAUGCGAGGUUCGCUUUGCUGAGCCCACGACCAUCGAACUCUGGGGAUACAGAAUGGAGAGGAAACCGAACAAUCUUGGGUGCGGUGCUUACCUGCCUUUUGGCACAUGGGAAGGAUCGCAAUGAUUGAACGUACAU